Molecule: ribosomal RNA, 402 nt
Filed under: Theileria sp. JV-2016
Lineage: Eukaryota; Apicomplexa; Aconoidasida; Piroplasmida; Theileriidae
Description: bacterial SSU rRNA
Rfam family: Eukaryotic small subunit ribosomal RNA
Source: RNAcentral
UGGUGCCAGCAGCCGCGGUAAUUCCAGCUCCAAUAGCGUAUAUUAAAAUUGUUGCAGUUAAAGAGCUCGUAGUUGAAUUUUUGCUGGUUAUUACCAAUUACCUCUUGGUUGAUUGUAAUUACCCGGCAUUUGUCGAUAUUAGCAUUAGUUAAUUAUCGAUAGGUUACUUUGAGAAAAUUAGAGUGCUUAAAGCAGGCUUAGCCUUGAAUAAUUUAGCAUGGAAUAACAUAGUAGGACUUUGGUUCUAUUUUGUUGGUUUUAGGAACCAAAGUAAUGGUUAAUAGGAACAGUUGGGGGCAUUCGUAUUUAACUGUCAGAGGUGAAAUUCUUAGAUUUGUUAAAGACGAACUACUGCGAAAGCAUUUGCCAAGGAUGUUUCCAUUAAUCAAGAACGAAAGUUAG